Molecule: non-coding RNA, 126 nt
Organism: Dipodomys ordii (Ord's kangaroo rat)
Lineage: Eukaryota; Metazoa; Chordata; Mammalia; Rodentia; Heteromyidae
Source: Rfam
GUGGUGAAUGAAAGGAGAGAAGGUCAGUACUCCCGUUGACAAGGAUGGAAGAGGCCCUUGGGCCUCACAACAUGCAUAUGGUUAAGGCAAUGCCACCUACUUCGUGGCAUUUAACCAUCGUUUUUC